Cricetulus griseus (Chinese hamster) is the source of this 216-nucleotide non-coding RNA. The record is from RefSeq and is a predicted model, not a curated record. NCBI's taxonomy places the organism in Eukaryota, Metazoa, Chordata, Mammalia, Rodentia, Cricetidae.
UGUACAGACUGCUGCUGCACCGGCUGGCUAGGUUGCUGUUGGUUGCUGCCUCAUGGCCGGAUACUAUCUAAGAUAAGCACAACUGCUUUUGGGACCUCUAUCCACCACUACUACUGUUUUGCAUGACCGACUGCUGCCAAACGCCAUGCCGAGUACCUGAAUGCCUGUACCACCUUCUGGACAAAGAUAGUUACUGCAUCAGGAGUAGAAAUCAGG